RNAcentral lists this ribosomal RNA (415 nucleotides) under Vreelandella venusta. RNAcentral's name for it is "bacterial SSU rRNA". It matches the Rfam family "Bacterial small subunit ribosomal RNA", at positions 60 to 472 of the family's 1533-position model. Lineage: Bacteria; Pseudomonadati; Pseudomonadota; Gammaproteobacteria; Oceanospirillales; Halomonadaceae. The record is from RNAcentral.
AGUCGAGCGGUAACAGGGGUAGCUUGYUACCCGCUGACGAGCGGCGGACGGGUGAGUAAUGCAUAGGAAUCUGCCCGAUAGUGGGGGAUAACCUGGGGAAACCCAGGCUAAUACCGCAUACGUCCUACGGGAGAAAGGGGGCUCCGGCUCCCGCUAUUGGAUGAGCCUAUGUCGGAUUAGCUAGUUGGUGAGGUAAAGGCUCACCAAGGCGACGAUCCGUAGCUGGUCUGAGAGGAUGAUCAGCCACAUCGGGACUGAGACACGGCCCGAACUCCUACGGGAGGCAGCAGUGGGGAAUAUUGGACAAUGGGSGMAAGCCUGAUCCAGCCAUGCCGCGUGUGUGAAGAAGGCCCUCGGGUUGUAAAGCACUUUCAGCGAGGAAGAACGCCUAGUGGUUAAUACCCAUUAGGAAAGA